RNAcentral lists this transfer RNA (56 nucleotides) under Pealius machili. RNAcentral's name for it is "tRNA-Leu". The record is from RNAcentral. Lineage: Eukaryota; Metazoa; Arthropoda; Insecta; Hemiptera; Aleyrodidae.
UUUAUUAAAUUAUCAUAUGCAAUGAAUUAAUUUUAGAAAUUAAAAAAGUAAUAAAU